UACCGCCUAUCACAAGGAGUAAGUCAUGCUCGCACCUUGGCAGCCGUUGCUGGAGUGGUGGUUCGGUUGGGGCACCAGUCCCCAGGCCGUGGC
RNAcentral lists this transfer RNA (93 nucleotides) under Pseudomonas putida. RNAcentral describes it as "tRNA-Ala". Lineage: Bacteria; Pseudomonadati; Pseudomonadota; Gammaproteobacteria; Pseudomonadales; Pseudomonadaceae. The record is from RNAcentral.